RNAcentral lists this long non-coding RNA (3398 nucleotides) under Theobroma cacao (cacao). Its description in RNAcentral is "long non-coding RNA (TCAC_LNC002396)". The record is from RNAcentral. Lineage: Eukaryota; Viridiplantae; Streptophyta; Magnoliopsida; Malvales; Malvaceae.
UCAUCAUUCCAUCAACUAUUCUUAAAGUCACCUUUCAUACUUCCAAUCUAUAAGUACCUAAUUAAUAUGCUGUAGCAAUCAAAAACUGCAUUUCACAUUAACCCAAAUAAUGUUAACCAUUACCAACUCAUUGUAGCAUUACCUAUCACAAUAUAAAUACAUUGUCUAAGACACAUAUCUUAAUACUUUACAUCACAUGAACGUAUUCACAAACAAAAUGACUCUCGGCUUCCAACGGAAUGGCCAAGGUGAAAGGACAGCUACCGAAUGCCAACAUACCUACCAAGAUAGACAAAACUAUGUGGACGCCUCGACCUAGGUUCCAACUGGCUCUUGAUCUGAAAACAUGAAGUUGAAAACAGUGAGUACAAACUCAGGGAGUAAACAUAAGAAGGGAACAAGCAACAAUAAGGAAAGUUUAAAGAAAUCAUGAUGCACUUAUUUUCAAAACAAUGCAAUUUAGUUUAGUUCUUAUUAAAUCCCUCCAUUAAACCCCUGGUUAUUAAAUCUUUUAAUAAUGAAGGAACCAUAUUCAGCAUGAAAUUGGAAAGAGAGGAAAUUUUUAGCAAUCAUCCAAGCAAGGCAGUAUAAACCGAGUGUUUCUCGCUGCAAUAAAAUUAAUUUACAAGUAAAUGGGAAAUUUUCAAGAUUCAUUAUGCCAUACAAUCACAAACACUAUCAUAAACUUUCUAUAACAUUUAUAUAUACACAUACACCAUCAUGCAUACCAUCCCUCCAUACUCAGCUCAUGUGCACUCCCUACUCGCACAUGGCCAGGUCAUCAUCAGCUCAUGUGCACUUCUACACCGCACAUAGCUAGGUCAUCAUCAGCUCAUGUGCACUCCCAUAAGCACAUAGCUGGGUCAUCAUUAUCACACAAAAAGGAACAUCCAAUGCAUAAUAUACAUAUUCAUACAAUAUGAUAACGUAGGAACCAUUUAUAUGGAACACUUUCAAAAGAUAAAAAUAUUUCACCACAAGUUUGUUCCCCAAGUAUUUUUAUUUUUAUUUAUUUUUAGCAAGAACAAAAGGGCUUUCAAAUGAUUCAUUUAAACAUAUAGGUACUUCCCAACACAUUUUGAAAUGCAAGUUCUGUCACGACCCGGAACUCCCAUCGAGCCCAUGACAACCGCCGCGACGUCUCGAUACACAUUCAUUACCCGGAAUAUCAAUCGAAACCUCGCAAGGCUUAACAUUAGUUUUUCUCGCUUCCCCUGUGAAUAUUAUUCACUAAAAUUAUGUUUUGAGAGAUUAUAAACAUUUUCCAAAUCAAAACAAUAGAAAAACAAUUUUUUUCUCACAGGGGCAUUUUGGUCAUUUUUCAAAAAUCUCAAAAUCCGCUAAAAAUGUAGUAUGUGAGUACAAAACACAUAAUUCAUAAUCAAAAAUAAAUUUGGAUGUCUAAAACAUUCGUUUAAAAUGAAAUUAUAACUAUUAGAAUAAAAUAAAAAUAUUGAAUAAAAUAUUCAAUUUUCUCAUAAAACAAUAUUUUUAGAACACUAUAUAAAUAAUUUAUACAGCGUAAAAGUAAAAUAAAUUCAUAUAUAUAUCGUAAUACAGUAAGCCAGAGUAUUUAAUUUAAUUUACAGUAACAAGUGGGCCCACGAACGACCAAAAGUAUUAAAAGCAGUAAACCUACAGUUUGGAGGAUGCAAAUCCAAUGGUGGUCCUCGAUGAAAUCAGCUAUCUAUAAACUAUUCUGAGCCUGAAAUUGGUGGAAAUGAGGGUGGUGAGAUUUUAUAAUCCCAAUGAGCAAAAAAAUACCAUUUAAAAUAUCAAAAGCCAAGUAAAUGGAGACAAAUAAAACAGUUUAACAUAGUGUAAUUCAUCACCUUUCAACUUGUUUCAUCCAAAUAAAAUCAAUUCAUAUAAAUCUAGUAAUCAACAUGGCUUAUGAAUUUCUUAAAAGCUUUGGCUCGUGCCAAUAUCAUUCUCAUACCCAGUUAUCAGGGAUGCCUUGAUCGAGGGCUAUCCCAACCGAGUUCACCAAGGCUGUUAAAAGGUUAUGUACACAUAAAUCAUGUUUUUAUUUUGAAAACAUAGCCGUUCCUUGGUGUUGGCUGAGUUCCCCCUCACGUGGUGGUCUGACUUGAAGUGAACUCCAAAAGUGUUAACCUCAGGAGUUAUCCACCAGAGCCUCUCAUAUUGAGGUAAGAUAUAACGGGAUCGUGCCCCUCUAAUAGGCUGGUCCACGGAAACUCAUCCACUGCAAUAAGCUAAUAAUUAUCCCACCAAUCAAUAAAAUUCAAUAACAUGAUAUGGCAAUUAUUGUAAUUCAUAGCCUUUCAAGGCUAAAUACACAGUUCAUAUAUUUCAACACAAAUACCAAUUCAGCCAUUCAUGCAAAUAUUGUCAUAAGCCAUUCGAUUCAAACCAUGAAUUUACAACACAUGAAAUGGUCUCCAAUUACUCUAUUUUAAAGUCAUUAUUCAAUUUUAAAACAAUUUUAUGAAAUCAUUUCAUUAAAUCACAUUUGGUUUAUAAAACCAAAAAAUGAAUCAUUUAAUUAAUUUUCCAUGAAAUUCACAAAAUCAGAUAAAAACCAGUUUAGAUAAUUAAGACAAUAGCAAGUUUACUCACUAUGUCUAAAGUGUGGAUUUUCGAAGUACUCUGACUUCUGGUCCUCGGAUGCAAUUUUCUUGCCUUUAUCGAAGGACUCACCACCUUGACAUAGUACAAAAUCGAGAAACUUACUACAUUGGUACUAAAUUGAAAUUAAACUAAUUUAGACUACUACUGCAUGAUAUGGAAUGCAAAAUGCACGGGUAACCAUCUAAACCCAAUAUUGGCCUAAUUCGUCUUAUCACUCGAUUAAUUGGCCAACGAGUCCAAUUUAGCUCUAAAUUGCUCCAUUUCUUUUCCAAUACCUUAAUUCACCAAACACAAGUCAAAUAACCUAAAAUUUGGCAAAACCAUCUUCACUUUUCUUCUUAGAAUUUUCGGUCAAUAAUGGUGCAUUAACACCGUGAUUUUUCCUACUACUUUUUCACACCAUAAUUCAUCAUUUUCUAACCAAUUCUCUUAAAAUAAAAAAUCAAAUUCAUCCUCACUCAAUACAAGGUAGGUUCGACCAUUGAUGGGUGAUGGGGAAAAUGAAUUCUUUUCUUAUUGUUUUGCUUCUAGACAUGGUAAACUAACUAAAAACACUAACAUAACUUGAAAUCAAAUCAAUCCAACAUCAUUCUCUCUCCAUACCCAUUCGGCUAGCCAUGAAUUCACCAUGAAAACAUGAAAUUUAACCAUGGAAAAUAAGGAGAAAUGCUUAAGGAAAUAGAUUUCAAGUUUAAAUUGAAAAAUCCUACCUUUUUCACUUGUUUUCCUUGAUUUUCCACACUUUUUCUCUUGAAAUUCUCCACCUAGGGUUCUUGUUCUUUCUUUUCUUCCUUUGUUUCUCUUUG